Molecule: unclassified non-coding RNA, 238 nt
Filed under: fungal sp.
Lineage: Eukaryota; Fungi
Description: partial internal transcribed spacer region
Rfam family: Eukaryotic small subunit ribosomal RNA (bases 1-46)
Source: RNAcentral
AAGUCGUAACAAGGUUUCCGUAGGUGAACCUGCGGAAGGAUCAUUCAAAAUUUAUUGGUUACCGUCUUGGAGUCUUAUUACCUAAGUCUCUCUCGACCUAUCACCGACAUAUUUGUGCACUGUAUAAAAAAAACCCACUCUAAUUGUCUGAUACUAUUUCUUUUUGUGUUUUUUUACUCUGUAAAAAACGUGAAUACGAAUAUAAAUAUAACUUUUAACAAUGGAUCUCUUGGCUCUC